AGCGUACACGGUGGAUGCCCUGGCAGUCAGAGGCGAUGAAGGACGUGCUAAUCUGCGAAAAGCGUCGGUAAGGUGAUAUGAACCGUUAUAACCGGCGAUGUCCGAAUGGGGAAACCCAGUGUGAUUCGUCACACUAUCGUUAACUGAAUACAUAGGUUAACGAGGCGAACCGGGGGAACUGAAACAUCUAAGUACCCCGAGGAAAAGAAAUCAACCGAGAUUCCCCCAGUAGCGGCGAGCGAACGGGGAGCAGCCCAGAGUCUGAAUCAGCUUGUGUGUUAGUGGAACGGUCUGGAAAGUCCGACGGUACAGGGUGAUAGUCCCGUACACCAAAAUGCACAGGCUGUGAACUCGAAGAGUAGGGCGGGACACGUGGUAUCCUGUCUGAAUAUGGGGGGACCAUCCUCCAAGGCUAAAUACUCCUGACUGACCGAUAGUGAACCAGUACCGUGAGGGAAAGGCGAAAAGAACCCCGGCGAGGGGAGUGAAAAAGAACCUGAAACCGUGUACGUACAAGCAGUGGGAGCACCUUCGGGUGUGACUGCGUACCUUUUGUAUAAUGGGUCAGCGACUUAUAUUCUGUAGCAAGGUUAACCGUAUAGGGGAGCCGCAGGGAAACCGAGUCUUAACUGGGCGUUAAGUUGCAGGGUAUAGACCCGAAACCCGGUGAUCUAGCCAUGGGCAGGUUGAAGGUUGGGUAACACUAACUGGAGGACCGAACCGACUAAUGUUGAAAAAUUAGCGGAUGACUUGUGGCUGGGGGUGAAAGGCCAAUCAAACCGGGAGAUAGCUGGUUCUCCCCGAAAGCUAUUUAGGUAGCGCCUCGUGAACUCAUCUUCGGGGGUAGAGCACUGUUUCGGCUAGGGGGUCAUCCCGACUUACCAACCCGAUGCAAACUACGAAUACCGAAGAAUGUUAUCACGGGAGACACACGGCGGGUGCUAACGUCCGUCGUGAAGAGGGAAACAACCCAGACCGCCAGCUAAGGUCCCAAAGUCAUGGUUAAGUGGGAAACGAUGUGGGAAGGCACAGACAGCCAGGAUGUUGGCUUAGAAGCAGCCAUCAUUUAAAGAAAGCGUAAUAGCUCACUGGUCGAGUCGGCCUGCGCGGAAGAUGUAACGGGGCUAAACCAUGCACCGAAGCUGCGGCAGCGACACUAUGUGUUGUUGGGUAGGGGAGCGUUCUGUAAGCCUGCGAAGGUGUGCUGUGAGGCAUGCUGGAGGUAUCAGAAGUGCGAAUGCUGACAUAAGUAACGAUAAAGCGGGUGAAAAGCCCGCUCGCCGGAAGACCAAGGGUUCCUGUCCAACGUUAAUCGGGGCAGGGUGAGUCGACCCCUAAGGCGAGGCCGAAAGGCGUAGUCGAUGGGAAACAGGUUAAUAUUCCUGUACUUGGUGUUACUGCGAAGGGGGGACGGAGAAGGCUAUGUUAGCCGGGCGACGGUUGUCCCGGUUUAAGCAUGUAGGCUGAUUGUCCAGGCAAAUCCGGAUAAUCAAGGCUGAGGUGUGAUGACGAGGCACUACGGUGCUGAAGUAACAAAUGCCCUGCUUCCAGGAAAAGCCUCUAAGCAUCAGGUAACAUCAAAUCGUACCCCAAACCGACACAGGUGGUCAGGUAGAGAAUACCAAGGCGCUUGAGAGAACUCGGGUGAAGGAACUAGGCAAAAUGGUGCCGUAACUUCGGGAGAAGGCACGCUGGUGUGUAGGUGAAGUCCCUGCGGAUGGAGCUGAGACCAGUCGAAGAUACCAGCUGGCUGCAACUGUUUAUUAAAAACACAGCACUGUGCAAACACGAAAGUGGACGUAUACGGUGUGACGCCUGCCCGGUGCCGGAAGGUUAAUUGAUGGGGUUAUCCGUAAGGAGAAGCUCUUGAUCGAAGCCCCGGUAAACGGCGGCCGUAACUAUAACGGUCCUAAGGUAGCGAAAUUCCUUGUCGGGUAAGUUCCGACCUGCACGAAUGGCGUAAUGAUGGCCAGGCUGUCUCCACCCGAGACUCAGUGAAAUUGAACUCGCUGUGAAGAUGCAGUGUACCCGCGGCAAGACGGAAAGACCCCGUGAACCUUUACUAUAGCUUGACACUGAACAUUGAGCCUUGAUGUGUAGGAUAGGUGGGAGGCUUUGAAGCGUGGACGCCAGUCUGCGUGGAGCCAACCUUGAAAUACCACCCUUUAAUGUUUGAUGUUCUAACGUUGGCCCCUGACCGGGGUUGCGGACAGUGUCUGGUGGGUAGUUUGACUGGGGCGGUCUCCUCCCAAAGCGUAACGGAGGAGCACGAAGGUUAGCUAAUCCUGGUCGGACAUCAGGAGGUUAGUGCAAUGGCAUAAGCUAGCUUGACUGCGAGCGUGACGGCGCGAGCAGGUGCGAAAGCAGGUCAUAGUGAUCCGGUGGUUCUGAAUGGAAGGGCCAUCGCUCAACGGAUAAAAGGUACUCCGGGGAUAACAGGCUGAUACCGCCCAAGAGUUCAUAUCGACGGCGGUGUUUGGCACCUCGAUGUCGGCUCAUCACAUCCUGGGGCUGAAGUAGGUCCCAAGGGUAUGGCUGUUCGCCAUUUAAAGUGGUACGCGAGCUGGGUUUAGAACGUCGUGAGACAGUUCGGUCCCUAUCUGCCGUGGGCGCUGGAGAAUUGAGGGGGGCUGCUCCUAGUACGAGAGGACCGGAGUGGACGCAUCACUGGUGUUCGGGUUGUCAUGCCAAUGGCACUGCCCGGUAGCUAAAUGCGGAAGAGAUAAGUGCUGAAAGCAUCUAAGCACGAAACUUGCCCCGAGAUGAGUUCU
This 2771-nucleotide ribosomal RNA is filed under the name Klebsiella pneumoniae. Its description in RNAcentral is "bacterial LSU rRNA". It matches the Rfam family "Bacterial large subunit ribosomal RNA". The record is from RNAcentral. Lineage: Bacteria; Pseudomonadati; Pseudomonadota; Gammaproteobacteria; Enterobacterales; Enterobacteriaceae.